UACGGGGGGGGCAAGCGUUGUUCGGAAUUACUGGGCGUAAAGGGCGCGUAGGCGGCCACCGCAAGUCAAUUGUGAAAUCUCCGGGCUUAACUCGGAAAGGUCAACUGAUACUGCGGGGCUAGAGUGCGGAAGGGGCAACUGGAAUUCUCGGUGUAGCGGUGAAAUGCGUAGAUAUCGAGAGGAACACCUGCGGCGAAGGCGGGUUGCUGGGCCGACACUGACGCUGAGGCGCGAAAGCUAGGGGAGCAAACGGG
RNAcentral lists this ribosomal RNA (254 nucleotides) under uncultured bacterium. RNAcentral's name for it is "partial 16S ribosomal RNA". It matches the Rfam family "Bacterial small subunit ribosomal RNA", at positions 524 to 776 of the family's 1533-position model. The record is from RNAcentral.